Molecule: ribosomal RNA, 429 nt
Filed under: Bacteroidota bacterium
Lineage: Bacteria; Pseudomonadati; Bacteroidota
Description: Bacteroidetes bacterium partial 16S ribosomal RNA
Rfam family: Bacterial small subunit ribosomal RNA
Source: RNAcentral
UAGGGAAUCUUCCGCAAUGGACGCAAGUCUGACGGAGCAACGCCGCGUGAGUGAAGAAGGAUUUCGGUUCGUAAAACUCUGUUGUUAGAGAAGAACAGCGCAUAGAGUAACUGUUAUGCGUGUGACGGUAUCUAACCAGAAAGCCACGGCUAACUACGUGCCAGCAGCCGCGGUAAUACGUAGGUGGCAAGCGUUGUCCGGAUUUAUUGGGCGUAAAGCGAGCGCAGGCGGUCAAUUAAGUCUGAUGUGAAAGCCCCCUGCUCAACCGGGGAGGGUCAUUGGAAACUGGUUGACUUGAGUGCAGAAGAGGAGAGUGGAAUUCCAUGUGUAGCGGUGAAAUGCGUAGAUAUAUGGAGGAACACCAGUGGCGAAGGCGACUCUCUGGUCUGUAACUGACGCUGAGGCUCGAAAGCGUGGGUAGCAAACAGG